GAAAAGUCUGUAACCAGCAUAGACUGGUGCUU
RNAcentral lists this non-coding RNA (32 nucleotides) under Mus musculus (house mouse). Lineage: Eukaryota; Metazoa; Chordata; Mammalia; Rodentia; Muridae. The record is from RNAcentral.